UACGAAGGGGGCUAGCGUUGCUCGGAUUUACUGGGCGUAAAGGGCGCGUAGGCGGAUAGUUAAGUUGGGGGUGAAAGCCCGGGGCUCAACCUCGGAAUUGCCUUCAAUACUGGCUAUCUUGAGUGUGAGAGAGGUGUGUGGAACUCCGAGUGUAGAGGUGAAAUUCGUAGAUAUUCGGAAGAACACCAGUGGCGAAGGCGACACACUGGCUCACUACUGACGCUGAGGCGCGAAAGCGUGGGGAGCAAACAGG
This 253-nucleotide ribosomal RNA is filed under the name uncultured bacterium. Its description in RNAcentral is "partial 16S ribosomal RNA". It matches the Rfam family "Bacterial small subunit ribosomal RNA", at positions 524 to 776 of the family's 1533-position model. The record is from RNAcentral.